AUUGAACGCUGGCGGCAGGCCUAACACAUGCAAGUCGAGCGAGCGGCGGACGGGUGAGUAAUGUAUGGGGACUGCCCGAUAGAGGGGGAUAACUACUGGAAACGGUAGCUAAUACCGCAUACUAUCGGAUAACCCAUAUGGGAUUAGCUAGUUGGUGAGGUAAUGGCUCACCAAGGCGACGAUCCCUAGCUGGUCUGAGAGGAUGAUCAGCAAAAAUGGGACGGAGAGCAGGCCCAGACGCCUGCGGGGGCAGCAGGGGGGAAGAUGGCAAAAUGGGGGAAAGCAUGAUGCAGCAAUGCCGCGUUUAUGAAGAAGGCCUUGGUGUGGGAAAGUACUUUCAGUGGGGAGGCGUUACCGAAAUAAGAAGCACCGGCAAACUCCGGGCCAGCAGCGGCGGAAAUAC
This 403-nucleotide ribosomal RNA is filed under the name uncultured bacterium. RNAcentral describes it as "partial 16S ribosomal RNA". It matches the Rfam family "Bacterial small subunit ribosomal RNA", at positions 29 to 526 of the family's 1533-position model. The record is from RNAcentral.